Small nuclear RNA from Sorex fumeus (smoky shrew), 120 nucleotides. The record is from RefSeq and is a predicted model, not a curated record. NCBI's taxonomy places the organism in Eukaryota, Metazoa, Chordata, Mammalia, Eulipotyphla, Soricidae.
UAGUUGUAUGAAAGGAGAGAAGGUUAGCACUCCCCUUGACAAGGAUGGUUAGUUAAUAGUUCAAAAAUAAAUCAGUUAUAUAUAAUAUAUAAAAUAUAUAUCAUCUAUCAUACAAUGUUU